Molecule: transfer RNA, 52 nt
Filed under: Gyraulus sp. GE1
Lineage: Eukaryota; Metazoa; Mollusca; Gastropoda; Planorbidae
Description: tRNA-Tyr
Source: RNAcentral
UUGAAAGCUUUAAGCGUUAGAUUGUAAAUCUUUUCUUGAUUAUUUUAUCUCU